GCGCGGGUGGCGGAAUGGCAGACGCGCUAGCUUGAGGUGCUAGUGCCCUUAUUGGGCGUGGGGGUUCAAGUCCCCCUCCGCGCACCA
RNAcentral lists this transfer RNA (87 nucleotides) under Sinomonas sp. ASV486. RNAcentral's name for it is "tRNA-Leu". It matches the Rfam family "tRNA". Rfam says of the family: Transfer RNA (tRNA) molecules are approximately 80 nucleotides in length. RNAcentral also lists the same sequence under 1 other name. Lineage: Bacteria; Bacillati; Actinomycetota; Actinomycetes; Micrococcales; Micrococcaceae. The record is from RNAcentral.